AAGUCGGUCCUACGUCGCCGCCAUCUUGAUAUUUAUCAACCAGCGUUUAGUUUUAUAAUGAAUAUAACCCAAUUGGACUUUGGAACAUAAAGAUGGCUGACCGACGAAAAUUACAAGCCGAAAUCGAUCGGUGUAUAAAGAAGGUAGACGAAGGUGUUCAGACAUUUCAAGAAAUAUGGGAUAAGGUUCAUAAUGCAAGCAAUACGAACCAAAAAGAAAAAUUUGAAGCUGAUUUGAAAAAAGAAAUAAAGAAAUUACAACGCCUACGAGACCAAAUCAAAUCAUGGCUUACUUCCAAUGAUAUUAAAGAUAAACGCCAGUUACAGGAAUAUAGACGUUUGAUAGAAACGCAGAUGGAACGUUUUAAAGUAGUUGAAAGGGAAACUAAAACAAAAGCGUAUUCGAAAGAAGGGCUCGGUUCUGCUCAGAAACUAGAUCCAGCUCAAAAAGAGAAAGAUGAUAUUUGUCAUUUCCUUGCGUCAUUAAUUGAAAAAUUGAAUAUUCAAAUUGAUAAAUGUGAGAGUGAAGUCGAAAGUUUGAACGCUAAUAAGAAAAAGAAGACUGAUAAAGAUAAAUUAGCUAAAUUGGAUGAUCUUCAGUAUCGGUUGCAACGUCAUCAAUUUCAUGUUAGCCGAAUGGAGACGUUAAUGCGUAUGCUGGACAAUGAUGCUGUUGAUGUUGAGGGAAUAAAAGGUAUUCAAGAUGGCCUUGAGUAUUAUGUAGACUCAAAUCAAGAUGUUGAUUUUAUGGAAGACGAAGCGAUCUACGAGGAUUUGAAUGUAGAGUCAUUUUAUCUACAACAAAACUCCUUAGCAUCCGUUCAGGAGAACGAAGGGGAUACUGAUUCGCCUCCUGAUACUCCUCCCAUUGAAGAAAGCGCACCACCAAAAUUAAAUCGGACGCCUAGUAAUGAAGAACAAAAAACGGCUAGGAAGGUUGUAAAUAAUAAUCCAACGGCGCCGCCUCCGGCACCUCCUACACCGCCACCUCCUCCUCCACCAGCGCCUACGAGGAGAACACCAACCCCUGUUCAUUCGCCGAUUCAGGUUCAACAGCUUCCGCCCAUAUCGCCUCCUCCCCCGUUAGUAAAUGGAACAACACCGCAAUUAUCAUCUUUAAAGAGUAUGGCACAACAAACACUCGCAGAGUCAGAAGCAGGGCAGCAGCUGCAAUCGGUAGCUCCUCCCCCUCAGCCUUCCAUUACCCAUACGUCAUCGGCUUCUCCCAUCACAAGUGCUCCUCAACAGACUUGUACGAUAAAGCUUAAUCCUAUGUUAGGAGUAGCGCCUUUGGGUCCGCAACCGCUUAACGAAGAGCAUAAAAGGGAAAUUAGAAUGCAGGAGUCGGCAUUUAAUCAUGUACCACAACCAUCCGACUCUGAAAGAUUACGACUGUACAUGCCAAGGAAUCCUUAUCAAACGGCCCAACAUUUUCCUCAAGUGCCGCCUCCACAUUCUGACACUGUUGAAUUUUUUCAACGAUUAUCUACAGAGACGCUGUUCUAUAUAUUUUAUUAUAUGGAAGGUACGAAGGCUCAGUACAUGGCGGCAAAGGCUUUGAAGAAACAAUCCUGGAGGUUUCAUACAAAAUAUAUGAUGUGGUUCCAGAGGCACGAAGAACCUAAAACUAUAACUGAUGAAUACGAACAGGGAACAUAUAUAUUUUUUGAUUAUGAAAAAUGGGGUCAGCGGAAAAAAGAGGGUUUCACUUUUGAAUAUCGCUAUCUGGAAGACCGAGACCUUAAUUAAAUAUAAGUCCUUUCUACCCCCUUCCUCUUCUAAAAAAUAAACCGCAGUCAUCAACUUUAUUAAGCGUUUAAAAAUUAGACUGUUAUAUUUUUUCCGUAUGAAAAUAUUUGAUGUACUGAUGUUAAAACAUUUCAGACAUAAAGACGUUUUAAGCAGGAAAAAAUACAAAUAAUUGCAAAACAAAUCAAGUUGUUAAAGGCUAAACAAAGUUGAUCUUCUCAGAUCACAACUAGAAGAAGGAAUCGAAGUAGUAAAGCCAAUUAGUUAAAAAAGUUAAAGAAUUGCUCAAUUCCAGAAGAAAUUAUCAUAAUCUCUGCUGUGAGAUAGAUAUGUAUAUGCAAUAUAUAUACAUAUAAUGAUAUAUUUAUUUUUUUUUUUCAUUAAAUUUACUUGAUCCUACUAAAAUAUAUAUAUUUUUUAAACUUUUCCCCUCCUCCCUCCUUUAUAAGCAAAAGAGAAAAAGAUUAAAAAAAAAGAAAAAUUUGACUGUUUAGAAAGUUAACAUUUUCUAAAUCGUAACUGCCCGUUUUUUUUUUUUUUUUU
RNAcentral lists this unclassified non-coding RNA (2291 nucleotides) under Dimorphilus gyrociliatus. Its description in RNAcentral is "dgyrCDS11261". The record is from RNAcentral. Lineage: Eukaryota; Metazoa; Annelida; Polychaeta; Dinophilidae.